RNAcentral lists this ribosomal RNA (497 nucleotides) under uncultured bacterium. Its description in RNAcentral is "partial 16S ribosomal RNA". It matches the Rfam family "Bacterial small subunit ribosomal RNA", at positions 28 to 507 of the family's 1533-position model. The record is from RNAcentral.
GAUGAACGCUGGCGGCGUGCCUAAUACAUGCAAGUCGAGCGAACAGACGAGGAGCUUGCUCCUCUGACGUUAGCGGCGGACGGGUGAGUAACACGUGGAUAACCUACCUAUAAGACUGGGAUAACUUCGGGAAACCGGAGCUAAUACCGGAUAAUAUAUUGAACCGCAUGGUUCAAUAGUGAAAGACGGUUUUGCUGUCACUUAUAGAUGGAUCCGCGCCGCAUUAGCUAGUUGGUAAGGUAACGGCUUACCAAGGCAACGAUGCGUAGCCGACCUGAGAGGGUGAUAGGCAACACUGGAACUGAGACACGGUCCAGACUCCUACGGGAGGCAGCAGUAGGGAAUGUUCCGCAAUGGGCGAAAGCCUGACGGAGCAACGCCGCGUGAGUGAUAAAGGUCUUCGGAUCGUAAAACUCUGUUAUUAGGGAAGAACAAAUGUGUAAGUAACUAUGCACGUCUUGACGGUACCUAAUCAGAAAGCCACGGCUAACUACGUG